This 253-nucleotide ribosomal RNA is filed under the name uncultured Eubacteriales bacterium. RNAcentral's name for it is "uncultured Clostridiales bacterium partial 16S ribosomal RNA". It matches the Rfam family "Bacterial small subunit ribosomal RNA", at positions 524 to 776 of the family's 1533-position model. The record is from RNAcentral. Lineage: Bacteria; Bacillati; Bacillota; Clostridia; Eubacteriales.
UACGUAGGGGGCAAGCGUUAUCCGGAUUUACUGGGUGUAAAGGGAGCGUAGACGGCAGUGCAAGUCCGGAGUGAAAGCCCGGGGCUCAACCCUGGGACUGCUCUGGAAACUGUAAAGCUGGAGUGCAGGAGAGGUAAGCGGAAUUCCUGGUGUAGCGGUGAAAUGCGUAGAUAUCAGGAGGAACACCAGUGGCGAAGGCGGCUUACUGGACUGUAACUGACGUUGAGGCUCGAAAGCGUGGGGAGCAAACAGG